This 404-nucleotide long non-coding RNA is filed under the name Eutrema salsugineum. Its description in RNAcentral is "long non-coding RNA (ESAL_LNC000065)". Lineage: Eukaryota; Viridiplantae; Streptophyta; Magnoliopsida; Brassicales; Brassicaceae. The record is from RNAcentral.
UGACCACACACAAAAAGAUAUAUCUUUUCUAUAGAAUCUGCAUUGAGAUUGAUCAUAACUGACAAUUUUUUUGCCGAUUAAUUUGACUUUUUGUAGGCUCUGUAGUAGUGAUUGUGGUCUCUGUUCUUAGCUCUGUGGUUGUCUUCAUGGUUGGAAUAGCAAUAGGAGUUUAUAUCUGCAAACACCGAACCAUACAGAAGAAGAGAAGAGGUCAUUCUAAAUUUCUGAUUCCUGAUAAAUCGUUAAAGGAAUAAUCAAUCUGUUCUACUUACCGAGGUUUUUGGUGUUUUCUUUAGGACCAAAUGAUGUCGAAAAAAUGGCCAAAACGCUAACGGACAGUAGCUUGAACUUCAAAUACUCGACAUUGGAGAAGGCCACAGGAUCAUUUGACAGCGCGAACAAGC